This 342-nucleotide ribosomal RNA is filed under the name uncultured bacterium. RNAcentral's name for it is "bacterial SSU rRNA". It matches the Rfam family "Bacterial small subunit ribosomal RNA", at positions 8 to 352 of the family's 1533-position model. The record is from RNAcentral.
AGAGUUUGAUCCUGGCUCAGAGUGAACGCUGGCGGCAGGCCUAACACAUGCAAGUCGAACGGCAGCGGGUCCUUCGGGAUGCCGGCGAGUGGCGGACGGGUGAGGAAUACAUGGGAAUCUGCCCAGUCGUGGGGGAUAACGUAGGGAAACUUACGCUAAUACCGCAUGCGACCUUAGGGUGAAAGCGGCGGACCGCAAGGCGUCGCGCGAUUGGAUGAGCCCAUGUCGGAUUAGCUAGUUGGCGGGGUAAAGGCCCACCAAGGCGACGAUCCGUAGCUGGUCUGAGAGGAUGAUCAGCCACACUGGAACUGAGACACGGUCCAGACUCCUACGGGAGGCAGC